AUUCCAGCUCCAAUAGCGUAUAUUAAAGUUGUUGCAGUUAAAACGCUCGUAGUCGGAUUUCGGGUCGGUUGCGCCGGUCUGCCGAUGGGUAUGCACUGGCGGAGUUGUCCUUUCUCCCGGAGACCGCGCCUACUCUUAACUGAGCGGGCGCGGGAGACGGGUCUUUUACUUUGAAAAAAUCAGAGUGUUUCAAGCAGGCAGUCGCUCUUGCAUGGAUUAGCAUGGGAUAAUGAAAUAGGACUCUGGUGCUAUUUUGUUGGUUUCGAACACCGGAGUAAUGAUUAACAGGGACAGUCAGGGGCACUCGUAUUCCGCCGAGAGAGGUGAAAUUCUCAGACCAGCGGAAGACGAACCACUGCGAAAGCAUUUGCCAGGGAUGUUUUCAUCG
Molecule: ribosomal RNA, 388 nt
Filed under: Gephyrocapsa sp.
Lineage: Eukaryota; Haptophyta; Isochrysidales; Noelaerhabdaceae
Description: partial small subunit ribosomal RNA
Rfam family: Eukaryotic small subunit ribosomal RNA
Source: RNAcentral